UUUUUUUAGGUUAGGGUUUUUUCAAAUAAUGAAAAAAUGAAAAUGGAAGAAGGGGGGUGUUUGUUUGGGUUAUGGGGCGGACUGGGUCGGGUCGACCCGGUGGGGUUAUUUGGUUUGGGCCAUGGUUGAUUUAAAUUAGAAGGUGGCCCAAUCCGAUUUUCUUCCUCUUUUAUUGCUUCUUUUUUUCUUCUUUUAUUUUUUCUUAAACUAAAACUAAAUUCUAAAAAUCCUAAACCAUCCUAUAGAACUAAAUUAAUUUAUAAAAGUGCAAAGUAACUCUCAAUACCAAUUAACACACAAUUAAAUAGCAAUUACGAUAAAAAUCACACAAUUCGAACAUUAAAUGCUAAAUAUGCAACGUACAAUAUUUUUAUGAUUUUUUGUUCUUGUAAAACAAACUUAGUUGCUCCUAAUUGUAGAAUUAAAUCCUAAAUGCAAAUGCGACAUAUUUUUGUAUUUUUUUUUAUUAAUUUAACAAAUAAACAUGCAUGGACAAAUACAAAUAAUUAUCCAAAAAUGCCACAAAAUCCUCAAAAUUGCACACAAAAGGAAAAUUGUUUUUUAAUUUGAAUUUUUGGGAGUAAUUCUCAUAUAGGGCAAAAAUCGCGUGUUUACAGUUGGUUAUUCUAUUAUAAUAUCUCUCGAUUCUUUAUUUUUGUACAGCCAUUCGAACGAGAGUGGCUUCUCGUUUUUCAUCCAUUAGUUCGAAGCUAGUAUUUAUAGCCUGUGAUUUGAUUCUUCCAUUGUAUGUCGAAAUCUGGCGCUAGGUUCCCCGACUUCGACUGGAAUCAGUGCUUCAGAGCCAUAUACUAAGGAGAACGGGUUUGCCCCAUACUAGACUUCGAUGUCGUUCGAUAUUCCCAACAGACCUCGGGUAAAAUCUCCAUUUUCCCUUGGCAUCGUUCAAUCUUUUCUUCAAAUUCUGAAUGAUAGUUUUGUUUGUUGACUCGACCUGUCCGUUUCCAAUUGGAUGAUACGAUGCCGAUAAGAUCCUUUUUAUUUUAUGUUCUUCGAGAAACUUCAUUACCUUGCUGCCGAUGAAUUACUUUCUGUUGUCGCAUAUGAUUUCGGCAGGUAUCCUGAAUCGGCAUAUGAUGUGAUCCCAGAUGAAGUCUAUAACUUUUUUUCUAUGAAUUUCUCGAAGGCUUGUGCUUCCACCCAUUUAGAAAAGUAGUCAGUCAUAAACAAAAUGAAUUUAGAUUUACUUGUAGUCGAUGGCAGAGGGCCAACGAUAUCCAUCCCCCAUUUCAUGAAUGGCCAUGGGGAUAAGACCGAAUGAAGUUGUUCCCCGGGCUGAUGGAUCAUCGGCGCAUACCUUUGGCAUUUAUCACAUUUUCAAAUAAACUCCUUAGCGUUUUUUCCAUACUAUCCCAAUAGUAUCCUGCUCUGAUGAUUUUGUGAACUAGUGAUUCAGCACCUGAGUGGUUCCCACAAGUACCUUCAUGGAUUUCUCGUAGAACAUAAUCGAUGUCCCCUGGUCUCAAACAUACUGCUAAUGGUCUGUCGAACGUCCUCUUGUACAAUGUUCCAUCUUUAGCCUAUGUGAAUCGAGCAGCAUUUGUCCGUAGGGCCCUCGAUUCUUUAGGGUUCGACAGGAGCUUUCCGGUUUUCAAGUACUCGAUAUAUUUAUUUCUCCAAUCCCAAGUUAAGUUUGUGGAGUUUAUCUCAGCGUGACCUUCUUCGAUCACCGAUCUCGAGAGUUGAAUGAUCGUCCCCGAGCUAAUUUCGUCCUCCUGGACUGACGACCCCAAAUUUGCAAGAGCAUCGGCUUCGUUGUUCUGCUCGCGAAGUACGUGCUGUAAGGUCCAUUUUUUAAAAUAGUGCAAAGUCACUUGUAGCUUAUCCAAAUACCUUUGCAUUCUAUCCUCUCGAACCUCGAAGGUUUUGUUUACUUAGUUUACUACCAGCGUAGAGUCUCACUUGGCUUCAAUGACUUCCGCCCCCAAGCUUUUAGCUAGUUCGAGACCUGCAAUCAAAGCCUCAUACUCAGCCUUAAUUUUAGUCAACUUAGAAGUUUUGAUAGAUUAUCUAAUAGUGUUUCCCGUGGGCGGCUUCAAAAUGAUGACUAGACCAGACCACUUCACAUUCGAGGCGCCGUCUGUGAAAAGGAUCCACACCUUCGAUGAUGUACCUGAUUUUAAUAAGAGUUCCUUCUCGACUUCGGGUACGAGGGUUGGCUUGAAAUCAGCCACGAAGUCUGCUAAAAUUUGAGAUUUGAUGGCCAUUCGGGAUUGAUAUUCGAUAUCAUACCCACUGAGUUCGACGACCCAUUUGACCAAUCGGCUCGAUAGCUCGGGUUUAUGCAAAACAUUACGAAGUGGGUAAGUGGUUAGUACACGUAUGUGGUGAAAUCAGAAAUAAGGUUUUAACUUCCUAGAGGUGCUUAUCAAAGUAAGUGCCAAUUUCUCUAAGUGUGGAUAUCUAGUUUCUACUUCUCCUAGAGUUCGACUUACAUAAUAAAUAGGAAAUUGCGUACCUUGCUCUUCUCGAACCAGGACACCACUUACCGCGAUCUUUGAGUCUGCUAAGUAUAAGUAGAGGUUUUCAUCUACCUUUGGAGUAUGAAGCAAUGGUGGGCUCGAGAGGUAUCGCUUCAAUUCUUCUAACGCCUGUUUGCAUUCCGGGGUCCAGGAGAAAUUGUUCUUCUUUUUGAGUAGAGAGAAGAAUCUAUGACUCUAAUUCGAUGAUCUCUAUAUGAAUCGGCCUAAGACAGCUAUCCGCCUCAUUAGCCUUUGCACGGCUUUAACACUAUCCACGACGGUGAUGUCUUCGAUAGCCUUGAUUUUAUCGGGGUUGAUCUCGAUUCCCCGAUUUGACACCAUAAAGCCAAGGAACUUUCCCAAACCGACCCCAAAAACAAAUUUCUCGGGGUUAAGCUUCAUGUUGUAUUUUCUCAGUAUGUUGAAUAUUUCCUGCAAAUGUGUCAAAUGGUCCUCUGCGCGCAGGGACUUAACUAGCAUGUCAUCAAUAUAUACUUCCAUUGAUUUACCUAUCUGUUCUUCGAACAUUUUAUUUACUAGGCGUUGGUAGGUAGCUCCUAUGUUUUUAUCUCGAAGGGCAUUACAUUAUAACAAUAUGUUCCAUACUUGGUGAUGAAUGAAGUCUUUUCUUGGUCUUCCGUGUUCAUUUGAAUUUGAUUGUACCCGGAAUAAGUAUCGAGAAAACUAAGGAUCUCGUGGCCGGCCGUGGCGUCGAUCAUGUGAUCGCUGUUAGGAAGUGGAAAAGAAUCUUUGAGACAUGCCUUGUUUAAGUCUUUAUAAUUUACACACAUCCUAAGUUUAUUCCCUUUUUUGGGAACUACAACUAUAUUAGCUAACCACUCGGGGUACUUUACUUCCCGAAUGGACCCUAUUUUGAGAAGUUUAGUUGCCUCGUCCUUUAUGAAUGUAUGCUUUACCUCAGACUAGGGCCUUCUCUUCUAUUUCACUGGUCUGAACUUUAGGUCCACGCUUAGCCAAUGUGUUGUUAUUUCCGGCGGGAUCUCUGUCGUGUCUAAGUGGGACCAAGAAAAACAAUCUAUAUUAUCAAUAAGAAAAUGAAUAAGAUUUUUCUUGUGUUCGGGGGUUAACCCCGUUCCCAGGUAUACCUCAAUAUAACCUAUUCCAGCUCUUCGACCAUUGAUUUGGUUGCGUCGAAAUCUUCGAGAACAACAAAAGUUUGAGGGGUCAAAAAAUCUUCCUCUUCUUCUUCUUCUAUUUCCUGGUUCUCCGGUCCGGUCUAGGCUGGUGGCAAUGAUUACUAUUUGGCUUUCUAUUGACCUUUAAUGCUCGAUCCUUCCGAUGUUGAUAGUGCCGAAAUCGGUAUUACCUUAUCGACCACGAACAUUUCCUUUGCAGUAUGCUGCUCCCGCACAUUGUUUUUACCCCGUCUGACGUUGGGAAUUUCAUCAUUUGGUAGAGAGUCGAAGGGACUACCCUCAUGUUGUGGAUCCAAGGCCUCCCGAGUAGGCAGCUGUUCCUCAUGUUGCCUUCGAUUACGUGAAACUUGGUAUCUUGGAUAAUUCCAGCCACGUUUACCGGUAGGACAAUCUCUCCUUUAGUUGUUUCACUGGCUAUAUUGAAACCGUUCAAGACCCGAGUUGCGGGAACAAUCUGAUCUUGUAGGCCGAGUUGCUCCACGACCGUCGAUCGGAUAAUGUUUGCUGAGCUACCUGGAUCUACUAAAGCACGCUUAACUUGAACUUUAUUUAACAAGAUAGAGGUUACCAGAGCAUCGUUGUGAGGCUGAGAAAUUCCUUCUGCCUCCUCAUCGUUGAAUGAUACGGUACAUUCUGGCACAUAAUCUGGGGUCAGUUUCUCCCUAAUAAUUAAUACCUUAGUGCGUUUGAACACGUGCCCUUGUGGAAUAUCGACCCCUUUGACGAUCAUAUGAAUUACAUGUUGUGGAUCUUCCUGUUCAAUUUUCUUGUUGGCGUCCCUUUCCCUGAAAUUAUUCUUGGCUCGAUCACUUAGGAAUUCUCGAAGGUGGCCCUCAUUGAAUAAACGGGCUACCUCCUCUCUCAAUUUCCUGUAAUCCUCAGUCCUAUGACCAUGUGUACCAUGAUAUUUACACAUCAGAUUGGGGUUCCUUUGGGAAAGAUCGAUCUGUAUAAGCCUAGGCCAUCUGGUGUCUUUGAUUCUUCCAAUUGCUGAUACAUACCUGAUGCAUCGAUACUAAAAUUAUACUCCGAUAAUUAAGGUGCCUCUAUGGGGUCAGCGUACUUGUCAAAACCAUUUUUGCUUAUGAGUCCCCGAGUAUUCUGUCCACGAUCGCUUCUUCGAUUGUUCCAGGCGUGAUUGCGUCCUGUACCACUGUUCCUGCGAUCUGAGUUGUACGGUUGAUAUCGAUCUUUGUUCGAUCUUGGCUCUCUAUCGAUGUCCCUCUGAUUUUUGGCGGCUGACCUGUUCGGGUGAACUGAAUUGGAAGGAGCUCAUAAUUGGUUAUCCUCUACCCUAAUUUUCGAUUGGUACAGAUUAUGUACAUCUGCCCAAGUUACAACCGGAUAUUCGAUCAGAUUUUGCUUCAGCUGACAUGAUGCUUUCGAACUUUGUUCAUUCAAUCCCUGAGUGAAAGCUUGAACGACCCAAUCAUCUAUGACCGAUGGCAACUCCAUGUGGUCCAUUUGAAAUUAGUAUACAAACUCCCUCAACAUUUCAUUAUCCCUAUAUCUUACUUUGAAAAGGUCCAAUUUCCUUGUCGCAACCUUUAUGACUCCGGCAUGUGCCUUUAUGAAAGAGUCUGCUAACAUGGCAAAUGAGUCGAUAGAAUUGGGUGGUAUAUUGUGGUACCAGAUCAUUGCUCCCUUCGAUAGGAUUUCCCCGAACUUCUUCAAUAAAAUAGAUUCGAUCUCAUCAUCUUCCAAAUCGUUACCCUUAAUGGUGUAUGUGUAGGAGGUGACAUGCUCAUGGGGAUCGGUGAUACCAUUGUAUUUAGGUGUGUCCGGCAUACGAAAGCUUCUUUGGAAUAGGUUUCGGAGCCGCACUCGAAGGGAAUGACUUUUGUACAAAUUUCUUCGAAUCCAUCCCUUUCAAGAUUGGUGGUGCCCCUGGUAUCUGAUCAACUCGGGAUUUUUAUGUUUCCACUUUUUUAUCAUUAGCUUCGAUUUUCUUCUCUCCUGACUCAAUUCUUUUGGUGAGCUCUUCGAGCAUUUUUAUUAUUGCAGGAUCAGUCCCCGAUUCAUUAUCAUUCGACCUUUCUAGCACUGGCUCGGUACGGCGAGUGAUUUCUGGCUCGACCCCACUCGGAAUUCUAUGUUGAUUUUGUAACUGAGCAAUAGCGGCCUGUUGAGCCUAUAACAUCUCGAAUAUCACCUGGAGACUAACUCCUCCGUCUCCUCUGCGUUGUGUGCCUUGGCCACCAGAUCGACCUUCUCUGCGUACACUCCCUUCGGGGUUUGCGCCUAGGUUCGCAUUUAAAGCAACGUGCGAACUAACACCAACUGGAUUGGCAACCGGUGCUCCCCCGAGAUUAGCCUGUGGCACCUCGGCUCCUGGAGCGAUUACAUUGUCGUUUUUCCCGUGAAACCCGAGACCAUCUUCACCCUGUGUGGGUGCGUUUUGUGAGUUCUACAUGUUUUAACCUGAGAGCAAAGAUACUUGACAAGAGCAAGCGUAAAAUAACGUGUGUUAUCAGAAUCAACACUGAACAAUCACUAUUAUCCUUAGCCCCACAGUGGGCGCCAAACUGUUUACCCUCAAAUUCGGAUAACAAUUAAACUUAUAUUGUGGUUUUAAGGAUACGUGAUCUCGUUCAAUACUAAUUGAUAAGCAAGAAAAUAAAUGAAUAAAUUAAAGAAUAAAAUAAAUCAAACCAGUAUACUAGCCGGGUCUCGACCUCGACUUGGGGUAGUCUCGAGGUGGGAUCGUAAGAAUGAUAAAGCAACUAUGAUGAACAAUAAGUGAAAUAGCAGGAAAGAAUGUAUAUAUUCUUAUCAGUGAACAGUGAAUGUUACAAAAGAAUGGGAUCCUUCUUUAUAUAAUAGAGGAGUCCUAAAUAAGGUACACUUCUAAUUAUAGUAAGAAACCAUAUUAACAUCUAAUUAACCGCUAUAGAUUGAUCCAUUCCGAGAUUCACGCCACGAUCCUCGACCAAUCGCGGAUAUCUCGCUUUUUCUGUUAUCAAGCUAAGCUGAAGUCACUCGAAGUCUGUCUUUUUCUGGUCGCAAUCGAUGUCUACCUCGAUCCGGACUGGACGUCUCAGCUCUUUGACGUGAUGUUCCUAUCUCGACCAAAGAAUGAAAUCGGGUAGCCCCGAUUUCUACCGUAUACAUUGCCAUUCCUUAUUAUUAAAUGAUUCUAUUUUAUCCUUUAUCCUACCUAUUUAUAUAAUAAUUCUAUCUCCUAUCUUAAUUUUUCUUUAUAAUAUUGUAAGUUUAUUCUUCAUAUUAUUUGUACAUGACAUCAUGAUACGACGAUAAACAAUACAACAUAUCCAAACAUUGUAUACAUUAGAACGAUACAGUACGAUACAAUACAUGAUACAUUACGAAACAAUACAUAACAACCAUCCAAACAACCUGGUAAUGAAAUUCUUAUUUUUUACAAUCUUUAUUUAAUUUCAUGGAAAAGACAGUAUUCAUAACCAAUUAGAGAAACUAUGUCACAUAAAGACUCUUCAUAGCCAAUCAUAGAAAGUAUAUUACACAUAUCAAGACAUCAUUUCACUCACAUAUACAGAAGUUUACUACAAUCAAACAAAACCAGCUGCUAUAUAUAUAUAAAAUCAGUCACCACAUCACAAGUGCAGUAGUUGACAUAGAGAUGAAAGAUAUAAAUAGAAUAUUAUUGUGGAAUGUUUCAGGGAAUGAGGGCAAGGGGCUAAACCAGGAGAAGAGACAAGAAAUAAAUAAGACCAGUUGUUGAUGUGAAGAUGAAGUGCUGUUUCAGGGAUAGGGCUGAACUAUGAUUAGGACGAGCUCGACGAUGAAUUAUUCCUUUUGGCACCUUCAUAUCAUCCACUAUAAAUUCCUUGUUUUCUACUAACUCAUACUUAUUUCCAUCUUUGUGCGAACUGACUCUAACAAGAGUACUGUCCGCGCCAUUUUCUUGCUUUUCGACAGCUUUGCUUUUGCUUGUAGAUGCAUGAGAAAUUUCAGAAGAAGCAGCACUUGUUAGAGCUACAACGCAUAACAAAAUAACAACACAAAGAGGGAAACUAAACUUCAUUUUUCUUAUUAAUUGGAGCUAAAAUAUACCUUAAAUGGUCUCAGUUAUCUUUCCUUUUCCUGUAGGAGCUAGCUGACUGUGUAAGAGGGUGUAUAUAUAAGAAGAUCUUCCCUGGGAUUGUAUAUAUUAUUCUUUUCUUUUCCUUCUUUCUUAAUCAAUAAUCUCCAUCCACCUUAAUUUUUGGGCAUAGAUGCCCAACCCCACAAAUGGAACCAAAACAUUGCUCUCCUUAAAAGCUUAUGUAAACCAACAACAACGACAUAACAAGUGUAAUCUUACAAGUGAGGUUACA
Molecule: long non-coding RNA, 7935 nt
Filed under: Nicotiana tabacum (common tobacco)
Lineage: Eukaryota; Viridiplantae; Streptophyta; Magnoliopsida; Solanales; Solanaceae
Description: long non-coding RNA (NTAB_LNC008051)
Source: RNAcentral